GACGAACGCUGGCGGCGUGCUUAACACAUGCAAGUCGAACGGUGAAGCGCUUGCCUUUUUGGUGGGUGUAGAUGAGUGGCGAACGGGUGAGUAACACGUGAGUAACCUGCCCUCUUCUUCUGGAUAACCUCAUGAAAGUGGGGCUAAUACGGGGUAUUCCGGGUCUGUCGCAUGGCGGGUUUGGGAAAGAUUGCGCCUUUGGGUGUUUUCGGUGGGGGAUGGGCUCGCGGCCUAUCAGCUUGUUGGUGGGGUGAUGGCCUACCAAGGCGGUGACGGGUAGCCGGCCUGAGAGGGUGGACGGCCACACUGGGACUGAGACACGGCCCAGACUCCUGCGGGAGGCAGCAGUGGGGAAUAUUGCACAAUGGGCGCAAGCCUGAUGCAGCGACGCCGCGUGAGGGAUGGAGGCCUUCGGGUUGUGAACCUCUUUCGCCAGUGAAGCAGGCCUGCUCCUGUGUGGGUGGGUUGACGGUAGCUGGAUAAGAAGCGCCGGCUAACUACGUG
This 504-nucleotide ribosomal RNA is filed under the name uncultured bacterium. RNAcentral describes it as "partial 16S ribosomal RNA". It matches the Rfam family "Bacterial small subunit ribosomal RNA", at positions 28 to 507 of the family's 1533-position model. The record is from RNAcentral.